GCAAUCAAGAUGGAGUCUCACACCCAGGUCUUCAUAUUCCUGCUCCUCUGGUUGUCUGGUGAUGAGGGGAACAUUGUGAUGACACAGACUCCUGAAUUCAUGUCCACAUCUGUUGGAGAAAGAAUUAGCCUUAGCUGCAAGUCUAGUCAGAGUGUGAGUGGUUUGGUAUCUUGGUACCAGCAGAAACCAGGGAAGCCUCUUAAACUGCUGAUCUAUGAUGCAUCCGAUAGAUACACUGGGGUCCCUGAUCGCUUCACAGGCAGUGGAUCUGGGACAGAUUACACUCUCAGCAUCAGCAGUGUGCAGGCUGAAGACCUGGCAGUUUAUUACUGUCUGCAGUAUGACAGCUAUCCUCCCACAGUGCUUCAGGAGGCCUGUACUUGGGGUAGCCGUCUCUGCAAUCAGUCACUAAGCACAGAGCUUCUUCCUUGGAGGAUCAGCUGCCUUGCCACAGCCACACCUCUAGAAGGCCCAUCUGUGCCAUUUCAGUCAUGGAGUGACAGAGUUCAGAGGUUCGUGCUUGAACUAGCUACUGUCCUGCUGCAACUGCAGCCCUGCGAGGCCUGCCUGUACCAUUUCAGGACUUUAGUCACUGAGCAUGAAAGAUCAUCAUGCUUGCGGAAAACACUGAGGCUUCAGGGUCCCAACAGGAUGCAACAUCAUGAAGGACCAAACCCUCAGAUAAAGAAUGCCUAUCCCGAAGUGAGUGCCUGA
Non-coding RNA from Meriones unguiculatus (Mongolian gerbil), 714 nucleotides. Lineage: Eukaryota; Metazoa; Chordata; Mammalia; Rodentia; Muridae. The record is from the annotation of a RefSeq genome assembly.